Dioscorea cayenensis subsp. rotundata (Guinea yam) is the source of this 1916-nucleotide long non-coding RNA. RefSeq lists it as uncharacterized. The record is from RefSeq and is a predicted model, not a curated record. Lineage: Eukaryota; Viridiplantae; Streptophyta; Magnoliopsida; Dioscoreales; Dioscoreaceae. The transcript is spliced from 6 exons.
AAAAGCAAAAGCAAAAGCAAAAGCAUCAGCAACCCUUAUCCUUGAUCGCAAUGCCACUCCUUUGUCCGAGUCUUCGAUCCAUCCAAGUCUCCUCCAACUGAGCUGUGAUCUCACCCGUGAUCCACCACCGGAGGAUCAUCGCCGGUGAGCCUUUUACUGAUUUUCAGUUGUCUUUCCUGAUCUUUUGGAUGGUAUGAUUUUUUUCUUAUGGUUGUUGUGUUAUGCUAUGGAUGAUGAGUUUGAGAAAGCCAUCUCUGGUUCUAUUUCUUGUUGAUUCCUGACUUCUUUCUUCUAGUUUUGGAAUGUUAGCAUGUAAUAAACUAUGAGUUUUGGAAAUGAAAUUACAUGGUGCUUUUAGUGGAGUGUUGUGGUUUCUUGUUGGUUUUCCAUGGUGAUGAAUUUGGGAAGGCAUUAUUGAGUUUUUUCUUUGCUGUGAUUUUUUGAGAAUGAAAUCAAACUGUUAUUUUAAUGAAGUAUCUAGUGGUUUACAGUCUAUUAAUUUUUGCUUUGGUUGUCUUUUCUAUUCUUAAUUUUUUCUGGAUCGAUGAGAACCUUUUGGCUGGUGAUUCCAAAUCGACGGCAGUUGAUCUAUUCCCUAUUCAUGCUCUGAAGAUUGCAUCUAUUGAUACAAGAAGUCUUCCAAGCUGGUUUCUCCUUCUCUGACGCUUUCUCCUUCAUCAAGGCCUCUGAAUUCUACACCCCUUGGUACAAUUCAGAUUCCCAGCCUUCUUUCUCUUAUUUAGCCCCUCGGAAUUGGAAUGUGAUUCUUGUGAGGCAAUAGUAGAAGGGAAAUCUGUUGCUAAAGCAUAUCUAAUCCUAGAUUAUUUGAUGGUCAAGGUUCUUGUGCUCUUUAUUUAAGUGUCACUAGAUGGAUGUAAGCUUAUUGGGCUAUUCUUAGAGCACAUGAAUUUCGAAUGUGAGUUGUUGGAACCUAUAACAUCGUUGGAUGUAUUUGUUUGAAAGGUUUUUGCAUCAUUUAAAGAAAAAGGUGAAAAAUCAAGCAUGUGUGGAAGGAUUUAUAUGCUAGGCACAUAUCACACAAGAAAUCUCAUCAUUUUGUUUGUUGUAUUUUGAAUCUACUGUGGAAACAAGAUUAAAUCAUGUACCUCUCAAUGACGAUGGUGGAGAUGUAGAAUCUGUAGGAUGACUUUCAAUUUUCUCUCAUCUUGGUCGACGUUUUGGGCCAAUGAAUAAUGCUAUAUUUCUAGAAGAUGUAGAACAUUAUGCUGUAGAGCUAUAUGUACUUAUGAAUUGCGAGGAGAUAUAUCUAUAUAUGGAGUAAGUAUUAUUUUGUAACUAGUAUUUAUGGUGCAAAAUACAAAUUUAAACUUAAUCAAUAUCACUAACUUUAUUUUCUUAAAUAUAGGCUGUUCGAUAAAAUGACAAAAAAGAAUGUGUGAAUAUAUCUUACAAGGAACUAGAGAAAUUAUGAGAUACAAGAUUUCUCAAAAUGGUGACCAAACAUAAAGAUGAAAUUGAUUCUCGUGUUGUCAAAAUGUCAUAUGGUCCUGGACGAAUUGCUCAAUGUUACAAAGAUUAUUUUAUAAAUGGUUUCAAGUUCCACACGCAAGACUAUAGGAAUAACCGCAAUACAAAAAAUAAUGGAGUUUGCGUGAAAGGGAGUUCUUACAAUGAUCAUGAGAAAGAAUUUUAUGGUGUCUUGAAGGAUAUUAUCCAAUUAGAGUAUUUUGGAGUUGGAAAGAAAGUUAUACUUUUAAAUGUCAUUGGUUUGACAUGGAAAAAUGGGUUAUUGAUCCUCAUCAUGGUCUUGUUGAAAUUAAACAUAAAUCAGCACUUCUUAGCAAUGAACCCUUUGUUUUAGCUGAUCAAGGUCACCAAGUUUGUUAUAUUUCUUAUCCCUCUAGUAAGAGAGAUUGCCGUGAUUGGUGGGUCAUUUUUAAAACAAAGGCAAGGAG